CAUGUUGGUGUUCUGUAGGACCUAUGUGAAGUCAACAGCUACGGACAACUCAGGAUUGUUUAAAUGACUUAAUGACCAAAAUGGAUGCGUAAGGAGGAAGUCUGAGUCAACGAAGAACAGAAGUGUCUUCAUUUCAUUCACACAUCCAGUCCCAGAACUGAUACCUGGCUGUCCAGUUUCUACUUUCAGUCAUCCGAUUCCUUCCUAAGUGGAGCAUCAGCUGUGGAGUGUUAGCGCAUGCAGCAGCUGUUAUAUUCGCACUCAGCCCUACAAAUUGCACACUGCUGUGUCACUAAGAGCUGAGUGCCCUCUCACUUGCUUGUGUAGGCAACAAUCUUUUCAGAUAAUAUCUCUAAAAUCGGGAAAGCUGGGGCCUUCACCAAAGGACACUCAUUGUAGUGAUGUGUGCAUAUGGAGGCCGUACGACUGCAGGGGAAGAGCUGGGUGCCUGUGUUGGUACAUCUCACAGGACAGGCGGUGUCAAACUGGGGCCGAAAGAGGGAUAGUGAUCAUCCCUGUGGAGGAGAACGAUAAGAGGAAUGGCUGACUCCAACCUGGCCUCGGGCCCCUUGUACAACCAGAGUGCCUGCCUGCAGAAGCUGGUGUGCCUGUUUAACAUCCCACCAGGGGUCCCCACUGUUGACUGCAGCGCUUCGUCUGCACGGACUAAAAAUGUCUUGGGAGUAUGGGCAAACAAGCAGUGAAGACAAGAAUAUGGAAGCUGACAGAAAUAAACGCGGGUUGGGGGAAAGGCGAGAGGGAGAGAAGGAAAAGGAGAUGUGCGAGCAAUGGGGGUCCCAGCGUCUUGAAGAGAUUGUGCUGGCAUGGUGGCCAGAGGCCUUUCAGCUGAGCAGGCACCACUACCUCUCCCUUUUCCCUCUGUAAAGCUGCAUGCUGGUGCUCAGAUGUUAAGCAGUGUGUUGAACACACACACCCACACACAGUUUUAUGCACAUGAAUACCAAUACAUACAAUUUUGGCAUCAGGAAUUAGUCUUUUCCAUACUUAUCUUUGUCUAGCUAUGCAAGUAUAUGGAUAUCUGCACUAGCCAAGGCAAUGGGCUCUAUAUUACCUUGUUUAAAAACUAGGUUUUAUUCUAACAAAAAAAAAAAAAAAA
Cyprinodon tularosa is the source of this 1117-nucleotide long non-coding RNA. RefSeq lists it as uncharacterized. The transcript has 4 exons. The record is from RefSeq and is a predicted model, not a curated record. Lineage: Eukaryota; Metazoa; Chordata; Actinopteri; Cyprinodontiformes; Cyprinodontidae.